Molecule: ribosomal RNA, 253 nt
Filed under: uncultured bacterium
Lineage: Bacteria
Description: partial 16S ribosomal RNA
Rfam family: Bacterial small subunit ribosomal RNA
Source: RNAcentral
UACGGAGGGUGCGAGCGUUGUCCGGAAUCACUGGGCGUAAAGGGCGCGUAGGCGGAUUGUACAGUCAGGCGUGAAAUUCCCGGGCUCAACCUGGGGGCUGCGCUUGAGACGUGCGAUCUUGAGUGGGGAAGAGGGUCGUGGAAUUCCCAGUGUAGAGGUGAAAUUCGUAGAUAUUGGGAAGAACACCGGUGGCGAAGGCGGCGACCUGGUCCUUGACUGACGCUGAGGCGCGAAAGCGUGGGGAGCAAACAGG